USSGSSGKCUUAMCAUGCAAGUCGAACGAUGAAGCCCAGCUUGCUGGGUGGAUUAGUGGCGAACGGGUGAGUAACACGUGAGUAACCUGCCCUUGACUCUGGGAUAAGCGUUGGAAACGACGUCUAAUACCGGAUACGAGCUUCCACCGCAUGGUGAGUUGCUGGAAAGAAUUUUGGUCAAGGAUGGACUCGCGGCCUAUCAGCUUGUUGGUGAGGUAAUGGCUCACCAAGGCGACGACGGGUAGCCGGCCUGAGAGGGUGACCGGCCACACUGGGACUGAGACACGGCCCAGACUCCUACGGGAGGCAGCAGUGGGGAAUAUUGCACAAUGGGCGAAAGCCUGAUGCAGCAACGCCGCGUGAGGGACGACGGCCUUCGGGUUGUAAACCUCUUUUAGCAGGGAAGAAGCGAAAGUGACGGUACCUGCAGAAAAAGCACCGGCUAACUACGUGCCAGCCGCCGCGGUAAUA
RNAcentral lists this ribosomal RNA (471 nucleotides) under Plantibacter flavus. Its description in RNAcentral is "bacterial SSU rRNA". It matches the Rfam family "Bacterial small subunit ribosomal RNA", at positions 38 to 525 of the family's 1533-position model. Lineage: Bacteria; Bacillati; Actinomycetota; Actinomycetes; Micrococcales; Microbacteriaceae. The record is from RNAcentral.